CUACGGGGUGCUCCAGGCGAGAAAACUUUGCAAUGUGCGAAAGCACGACAAGGUUAAUCCGAGUGGUUUCUGCUAAAGGAACCUUUUGUCAGUCCUAGAAACACUGAUGAAUAAGGGGUGGGCAAGUUCUGGUGUCAGCCGCCGCGGUAAAACCAGCACCUCAAGUGGUCAGGAUGAUUAUUGGGCCUAAAGCAUCCGUAGCCGGCUCUGUAAGUUUUCGGUUAAAUCUGUACGCUCAACGUACAGGCUGCCGGGAAUACUGCAGAGCUAGGGAGUGGGAGAGGUAGACGGUACUCGGUAGGAAGGGGUAAAAUCCUUUGAUCUAUUGAUGACCACCUGUGGCGAAGGCGGUCUACCAGAACACGUCCGACGGUGAGGGAUGAAAGCUGGGGGAGCAAACCGGAUUAGAUACCCUUGUAGUC
RNAcentral lists this ribosomal RNA (422 nucleotides) under uncultured archaeon. RNAcentral's name for it is "partial 16S ribosomal RNA". It matches the Rfam family "Archaeal small subunit ribosomal RNA", at positions 323 to 746 of the family's 1478-position model. The record is from RNAcentral.